AAGUCGUAACAAGGUUUCCGUAGGUGAACCUGCGGAAGGAUCAUUACAGAGUUCUUGCCCUCACGGGUAGAUCUCCCACCCUUGAUAUCUAUUCUCUUGUUGCUUUGGCGGGACGCUUCUUGCCACGGGCUCCGGCCCGUGAGUGCCCGCCAGAGACCCAACCAACUCUUGUUUAUGUGUCGUCUGAGUACUAUAUAAUAGUUAAAACUUUCAACAACGGAUCUCUUGGUUCUG
This 234-nucleotide unclassified non-coding RNA is filed under the name fungal sp. RNAcentral's name for it is "partial contains small subunit ribosomal RNA, internal transcribed spacer 1, and 5.8S ribosomal RNA". The stretch from base 1 to 46 matches the Rfam family "Eukaryotic small subunit ribosomal RNA", at positions 1786 to 1831 of the family's 1831-position model. Lineage: Eukaryota; Fungi. The record is from RNAcentral.